UGAAUACGAAAUGCUACGGCAUUGAAGUGAUCUAUGCCAGGCUUCCAAGAAAAUCUCGUCAUAUCUUAAGCAGUAGAUGCCUGUACCUUAAACCGACACAGGUAGGUAGGUAGAGUAUACCAAGGGGCGCGAGAUAACUCUCUCUAAGGAACUCGGCAAAAUAACCUCGUAACUUCGGAACAAGAGGUACCCUUGAAAAAGGGUUGCAAUAACCAGACCCUGGCGACUGUUUACCAAAAACACAGGUCUCCGCUAAUUCGUAAGAUCAAGUAUGGAGGCUGACGCCUGCCCAGUGCCGGAAGGUUAAAGAAGUUGGUCAAUCUUUGGAUGAAGCUGGCGACUGAAGCCCCGGUGAACGGCGGCCGUAACUAUAACGGUCCUAAGGUAGCGAAGUUCCUUGUCGGGUAAGUUCCGACCCGCACGAAAGGCGUAACGAUCAGGGUGCUGUCUCGGAGAGAGACUCGGCGAAAUAGACAUGUCUGUGAAGAUGCGGACUACCUGCACCUGGACAGAAAGACCCUAUGAAGCUUUACUGUAUCUUGGAAUUGGGUUUGGGCCUUGCUUGCGCAGGAUAGGUGGGAGGCUGUGAAGAUAUUCUUGCGGGAAUGUUGGACCCAACGGUGAGAUACCACUCUAGUAAGGCUAAAAUUCUAACUCUGAACCGUUAUCCGGUCAGAGAACAGUUUCAGGUGGGCAGUUUGACUGGGGCGGUCGCCUCCUAAAAUGUAACGGAGGCGCGCAAAGGUUCCCUCAGGCUGGUUGGACAUCAGUCGUAGAGUGUAAAGGCAUAAGGGAGCUUGACUGCGAGACCCACAAGUCGAGCAGAGACGAAAGUCGGCCUUAGUGAUCCGACGGUUCCACGUGGAAGGGCCGUCGCUCAACGGAUAAAAGUUACUCUAGGAUAACAGGCUAAUCUCCCCCAAGAGUUCACAUCGACGGGGAGGUUUGGCACCUCGAUGUCGGCUCAUCGCAUCCUGGGGCGGUAGUACGUCCCAAGGGUUGGGCUGUUCGCCCAUGAAAGCGGUACGCGAGCUGGGUUCAGAACGUCGUGAGACAGUUCGGUCCAUAUCCGGUGCAGGCGUUAGAGCAUUAGAGGAGUCCCCCUUAGUACGAGAGGACCGGGGGGAAUACACCGCUGGUGUACCAGUUAUCGUGCCAACGGUAAACGCUGGGUAGCCAUGUGUAGCGCGGAUAACUGCUGAAAGCAUCUAAGUAGGAAGCCCACCUUAAGAUGAGUGCUCUCACCGCUAUAAGCGGGUAAGGUCACGGUAAGAACAACCGUUAUAUAGGCAUUAAGUAUACGUGCAGUAAUGCAUUUAGCUGAGAUGUACUAACAGACCGAGGGCUUGAUC
This 1352-nucleotide ribosomal RNA is filed under the name metagenome. Its description in RNAcentral is "bacterial LSU rRNA". It matches the Rfam family "Bacterial large subunit ribosomal RNA", at positions 1564 to 2925 of the family's 2925-position model. The record is from RNAcentral.